AAAUUAUCCGGGUGUACAAGGUUUAUGCUUCCCAAGACAGGAAUAAAACAAAACAAAACCACACAAAAGAAUGAGUCAAGCCUUGGAAAGAAAGCUGCUUCUGCAAGAAACGGCAAAAAUAAAGAGCACGGGGUGCACCAACGGAGAGAAGCUGGCUGGUUGUCUGAGCACACGCUGAAAGGUGGGAAGAAAAGGGCACCGUGGAUGAGUCCAGGGGGUUCUCUGCAUGAGAAGCACAAGAAGAAAGCAGCAGGUGGAAGUAAAAUACAUUCAGCGCUGAUAUAUGUCACCACCUCUAUAGCAGUUCAGCCAUGUACAACACGACACCACCAUGCUUACCUAACAGAGGUGGCAGCCAGUUCACGUUGGCCUCGCAAUGGGAAUCCAAGAAGGUGAUAACAUCUCCUAUUGCCACAGAGGCCCCCAGCAUCCGAG
This 435-nucleotide long non-coding RNA is filed under the name Gallus gallus (chicken). Lineage: Eukaryota; Metazoa; Chordata; Aves; Galliformes; Phasianidae. The record is from RNAcentral.